This 371-nucleotide long non-coding RNA is filed under the name Spirodela polyrhiza (greater duckweed). RNAcentral's name for it is "long non-coding RNA (SPOL_LNC000284)". The record is from RNAcentral. Lineage: Eukaryota; Viridiplantae; Streptophyta; Magnoliopsida; Alismatales; Araceae.
GGGGCUCGAAAGAAAAGGAAAGGAAAGGGGGGUGGUUGCAGGGACCAAGUCUCAUGGGAUGCCGACCCUCCGCCGUCAUUUCUUGGAAGAUAGAGAGAGAGAGAGAGACGUCAGCAAGUCCGACGUCUUACCUUCAGCUGCGAGGAGACACCUGAAAGCUCAGCGAUCGUCGGCAGGGAGAAGAUCCCCACUCGGAUUAUCUAUGAAGGAAGGCCGGGCUUGGCUUCCGAGUCAUCGAAAUCAUCCCCUGACAGGGUGGUCAGCCAGAAAUUUAAUGCGGGCCUUUUUUUUAAAAUCCGGUAUAUUUUCAGGUUAAAAACCCGCAAUUUACUCACCAUCCGUCGUCGUAGUGGGUCCUGACGUUCCUCCCC